This 1473-nucleotide long non-coding RNA is filed under the name Homo sapiens (human). RNAcentral describes it as "HSALNT0191677". The record is from RNAcentral. Lineage: Eukaryota; Metazoa; Chordata; Mammalia; Primates; Hominidae.
GCUGCAGUGCAAUGGCUCUAUCUUGGCUCACUGCAACUUCCACCUUCUGGGUAAAAGUGAUUCUCCUGCCUCAGCCUCCCAGUAGCUGGGAUUACCGGCACCCACCACCAUGCCUGGCUAAUUUUUGUAUUUUUAGUAGAGACGGGGAUUUGCCAUGUUGGCCAGGCUGGUCCCAAACUCCUGACCUCAGGUGAUCUGCCUGCCUUGGCCUCCCAAAAUGCUGGGAUUACAGGCGUAAGCCACCAUGCCCGGCCUGCCUAGCAGGUUUGAAAGUGUGAAAGGACUCCAGUGGCUGGAGUGGAAGUGAGGAAGAGGGAGAGCUCCUGGGCACCAGAAUGAAUGGGGAGGGUCCUUUAGGGCACUGUGAGGCCAUUAGCUUUUACUCCUACUGAGACUGGACAUCCCAGGAGAGUUUCAGAGCAGAGAAGUGCUAUGACUGCUCUUGAAGUUUAAGAGGACCAGGUGGCUGGCUUUGCUGUGUGUCAGAGAACAGGAGCAGAAACAGGGAGACCAGCUGGGAGGUGACUGCAAAAGUCCAGGUGAGAGGCGAUGGAGCUAGUGAGGAGUGCCGGAGGCCUGGUGUAUUCUGACGACCUGAGUAUUUGCAGAUUUUGGUACCUGCAAGAGGUCCUGGAACCAAUACCCCAUGGAUACUGAGGGACAACUGUAAAUAUGUAUCAUCUUUCUUGCUGCCCUUGAAGAGUGGUGUCCAGUGAAUCUUUCAAAGAAUGAUACUGAGCUUCAUUGUUGAUGAACAAAAAUGCAAAUCUCACCCAGAGCAUGCAGGAACAUGCUAUAAUCACUACACUCCUAGAAUGUGAUCUCUUUCAAUAUUGACUGCAUCCAUGCCUUCCACACACUUGCACCAGUUGGGAGGAUGGAGAUGUCAUCUGGGCAGAGGGAGAAGAGCAGUACCAUUCAGAGAACUCAAAGGGCUGUGUGAAAAGUUUACUGUGGAAAAAGAAAUUGAAAAAACUGCCACUAAGUAGCAAUGGAAGGACUUUUCCCGCUAAGAUGAGGAACUGCUCAGAUCACCAGCUGCUUCAGGUUACCAGCCCACACCUGUCUGUCUCACCUCUGACAACCUUGGUAAAGAAACCAAGGCUUAGAGACCUGCUCACAGUCGUUUCGUGAGGGAAUGCAACAUCUGGGUCUAGGGUCCAAAUCUAUCUCUGCUGUGAAGAGGAACUCAUACAGGAGAUCUACAUGAUUACCAAUUCUUGGCCUUGCAGUGGAGGAUAUUAAUUUUAAGUACCUGUGAAAUGAAGUUCUUAAAACCUAAGAUUCCCCAAAACUCCAGUUAUCAACAAGGUUAUAUAGGAAUCAAAGCGAGGCGUUUGGAGUAGAUGCCGAGAUCACCUCUCCCUCACACCUCUGCUGACCCCAGCUACCUGCAAUCCUGCCAGGACCAUUCUGGAGUACCUUUCACUGAAGACAAAUUUAUUGUAAAAUUUCUACUGGGAUUCAUUGUAG